GAUGAAGAACGUAGCGAAAUGCGAUAAGUAAUGUGAAUUGCAGAAUUCAGUGAAUCAUCGAAUCUUUGAACGCACAUUGCGCCCGCCAGUAUUCUGGCGGGCAUGCCUGUUCGAGCGUCAUUUCAACCAUCAAGCCCCAGGCUUGUGUUGGAGCCCUGCGGCUGCCGCAGCCUCCCAAAACCAGUGGCGGGCUCGCUGUCACACCGGGCGUAGUAGAUUUUAUCUCGCUCAGGGCGUGCUGCGGGUUCCGGCCGUUAAAAAGCCUUUUUUACCCAAGGUUGACCUCGGAUCAGGUAGGAAUACCCGCUGAACUUAAGCAUAUCAAUAACGGAGGA
This 335-nucleotide unclassified non-coding RNA is filed under the name soil metagenome. RNAcentral describes it as "partial contains 5.8S ribosomal RNA, internal transcribed spacer 2, and large subunit ribosomal RNA". The stretch from base 1 to 120 matches the Rfam family "5.8S ribosomal RNA", at positions 35 to 154 of the family's 154-position model. The record is from RNAcentral.